AGGACGAACGCUGGCGGCGUGCUUAACACAUGCAAGUCACGGGGGCCCGCAAGGGCAACCGGCGAACGGGUGCGUAACACGUGAGCAACCUGCCUUUGUGUGGGGGAUAGCCGGGCUAACGCCCGGGUAAUACCGCAUACGGUUCUCGAGGGAGUCCCUUGGGAAAGAAACCUCCGGGGCACAGAGAGGGGCUCGCGGCCUAUCAGCUUGUUGGCGGGGUAAUGGCCCACCAAGGCGACGACGGGUAGCUGGU
This 253-nucleotide ribosomal RNA is filed under the name uncultured bacterium. RNAcentral's name for it is "partial small subunit ribosomal RNA". It matches the Rfam family "Bacterial small subunit ribosomal RNA", at positions 26 to 291 of the family's 1533-position model. The record is from RNAcentral.